UCAAUUCUGCCUGUAACCAAGGCUGCUAGCAUAUUACAGAAUUCCAGUUUGGGAAGUGUUUCAUCUUCUUUUAUUAAAAGAUUGAGCUGUCUAGAGAUGACUAAGCAAAGAGCAAAGGAGCUUUGCUAUAAUUGUGACAAACUAUAUUCUUAGGCAUCAAUGUAAGAAGUUAUUUUGGUUAGAGAUGGAUGGUGUAGAUGAAGCAACGGGAAAAAGGGACUAGGGUGAUUCAUAAUCUUAUCCUACUAUGGGGGGACAAGCUCUUUCUCCAUGGGGGGAGUGAUGUUAUGGACGCAUUGUGUGAUCCCUGGUUGAAUUUUUUGGAAUUUACUUCCUAUUAUUAUUAGAUAUUAAGUCUUAUUUUAAUCAUAGUUGUUAAAGGCCUGUCUCUGGCUCAAGGCUUGCAAGGCUCGAAAAAUGGCACCUUAUGUGCCUAGGUAAGCGCUUUAUGUGCCUAGGUAUGCACCUUUGUUCUAGGCACAAGGUUCUAAAAAGACUUCUCUUCUUUAUUUUUAUCUUUAGCGAGCACUUUCAUUGACAAAAAGG
Molecule: unclassified non-coding RNA, 546 nt
Filed under: Hevea brasiliensis (rubber tree)
Lineage: Eukaryota; Viridiplantae; Streptophyta; Magnoliopsida; Malpighiales; Euphorbiaceae
Source: RNAcentral